Molecule: transfer RNA, 74 nt
Filed under: Candidatus Nealsonbacteria bacterium CG07_land_8_20_14_0_80_40_10
Lineage: Bacteria; Candidatus Nealsoniibacteriota
Also listed under: 2 other names
Description: tRNA-Gly
Rfam family: tRNA
About the family: Transfer RNA (tRNA) molecules are approximately 80 nucleotides in length. Their secondary structure includes four short double-helical elements and three loops (D, anti-codon, and T loops). Further hydrogen bonds mediate the characteristic L-shaped molecular structure. tRNAs have two regions of fundamental functional importance: the anti-codon, which is responsible for specific mRNA codon recognition, and the 3' end, to which the tRNAs corresponding amino acid is attached (by aminoacyl-tRNA synthetases). tRNAs cope with the degeneracy of the genetic code in two manners: having more than one tRNA (with a specific anti-codon) for a particular amino acid; and 'wobble' base-pairing, i.e. permitting non-standard base-pairing at the 3rd anti-codon position.
Source: RNAcentral
GCGGGUAUAGCAUAAUGGUAGUGCGCAAGUUUUCCAAACUUGAUAUACGGGUUCGAUUCCCGUUACCCGCUCCA